CCAAAGUGCUGGGAUUACAGGUGUGAGUCACUGUGCCCGGGAAUCUUGUUCCCAAGAGGAAGAAAGGCAAGGAUGAGUUCCCAACCGUUAUAGUAGGGAUGUGGGGAUUAACCUUCAUGCUGGGAUAGAAUCAGAGGCAUGAGGCCUGCUUGAGGUAAAGAGGUAACCCCAAGACCCCCACUGAGUGAACCAGAACCUUAAGGCUGUAAUGCCCAUGAAAGAGGAUCUUGUAAACUUUGCCCAGGGACACAGCAAGGGUUUGACUCCAGUGGUUCUGGGGGCGGGUGUGGGGUGUGGGGUGGGGGUGGUGGGGCGGGGGGAAGAACUCUGAAAGAAAUCAAAGCCCAGACUGUGUCCCACAUAGAGUUCAAGUCAUUUAACAGCAUCAUGGGGGAAACCCAGAGAUGUGAAAUUAGUAUAAAAAUUGGCCGCUGGCAAGUGCUAUCUCUCAGACACCUGAGAACAACAUACGCAACCUCAUUCUGGACUUAGGGACAUUUUAGUUUCCCGGCUACGUAGAUGUCUAUAGAAAAACUGAGCUUUGAUUGGAUGCGCUUACAGUGAGAAAUAGUCAAAACGUAGAAGGAAACCUUCCACCACCAGCAAAUCAGCAACACAUAAAGAGGAGCAUUAGUUCUUCAAGAACUUAAGAUUAUAACAAAAUACAUUAAAAUAAAAUAUAUGAUAUUAUAGAAUAUAUAUGUAAAAAUAUAUAAUAGCAAAAUAUAAAAGAAAGUAAGUUUGGGAUCUUCUAAGUGUUCCCUAUCCUCUGAAAAAAAAACAAAAAACAAAAAGAAGUAGUAAUUCAAAGUAGCAGAGGGAGGCUGCAACCAAACAUUGCACACACAGCUCAGGUGGAGGAUGUGGUGUAUAUGCGCAGCAAGUAUGUUUCCUAAUACUGAAGCCCAGAAUUAGGCAGACAUUAACCACUUGAUUGCAGGUAAUUCUGGGGCAUGUGACAGGGAGAGCUUGUCCCAAAAGGGCUGCAGAGAACACCUCACCCUGUGGCAAACUUAUUCACAAAAGGAAAAAGCGCAGAGAUGAGCCAAGCCAAGCCUCCAGGCAUUCGUCUGAAACUUGCAAUCAAAUACAUUUCUCUAUAUUCCCAGGAGAGAAGGGCCAGGCAUAUGCUGGGGGAUAUAACGCCUCCACUUCCCUGCCAUCAUGCAAGUAAGAAUGGGGAAAAAAGGCAUUUCCCUCUUCACCUAAAUAACAAAUGAUUAAAGGGGAUAAAAAAAAAGGCAUAGAAACUAUAAGGGGCCAGGUGUGGUGGCUCACGCCUGUAAUCCCAGCACUUUGGGAGGCCAAGGUGGGCAGAUCACCUGAGGUCCCGAGUUCAAGACCAGCCUGGCUAACAUGGUGAAACCCCGUCUACUAAAAAUACAAAAAUUAGCUGGGCAUGGUGGCGUGCAUCUGUCAUCCCAGCUACUAGGGACACUAAGGCAGGAGAAUUGCUUGAACGUGGGAGGUGGAGGUGACAGCUGAGAUCAUGCCAUGGCACUCCAGCCUGGGCAACAGAGCAAGACUGUCUCAAAAAAAAAAGAAGAAGAAGAAAAGAAAAAAAAGGAAAGAGUACAAGCAAAUAAAACUUCAGGAAAUAGAAAAACUCACUAAAAUUACAAUCUCAGAAAUAAAGUUUAAAAUAGUAGGUGAGAUAAACUAAAAGAAUUCUGAAAUGAAUAGAAUUUCCCAGGAUUCAACAAAUAAAUUAAAUGAUGAAAAAUAUAAACAAGAUGCUGAGACAUGGAGAAAAAAUGAGUCCACUCCAUCAAAGGUUCUGGCAGACAACAUGGACUGAGCACAAAGUCGGGUUCCCAUCCUCACCGCCUUUGCCUGCCUGUGCCAUAGAGACUGGAGACUAAAAGCCUCAUGCUCCCAGUGUUGCAUUUAGCUGGGGGCGGCCAGAUUCCUUGCCUCUGAGACACGAGUGGAAGUGCAAUAGUGCUGCCUUCUCCUUCCACCACAGGGUCCGAUGUGGUCGAUGGCUGUACUUGCUUCCAUGUUAUGGUGAUGAGAGAAAGACCAAGUGCGGCAUGUAGGCUUUGGUGCUGACAUAUGCUUCCCGCAGGACUUCUUGCUAUGUGGAAAAUCAAUCCCAAUUUAUUUAAGCCACUGUAGUUGGCUUUUCCAUUACAUGUAGCUGAAAAUAUUUCUAACUGAUAUUAAAGUUUAUUUGUUCCUAAAAGAGACAAUUAGAUAGCAUGGUGGAGAGGGAACAAAAUCAUUUUGCAAACAUACAGACAAAAAAAUAGAAUAGAAUACGGACACCAGUGUACCAUUCACCGAGGUUUAAACAGUCAUUAUUUUGCCUUACUUGCUUUCUCUAGGUUUUUCUUUUGCUGAAAUUAUUUUAAAAUAAAUUACAGACAUCAUGAUAUUUAACAUAUAUCCCUCAGUACUUGGCUCUAAAAAGAACAUUUUUCUAGACAACCAUGAUUCCAUGAGUACAUCUAAUGAAAUUAAUAAUUCUGAGCAUCAUCUAGUGCCCAAUCUAUAUUCAGAUGUCAGGGGAUUUGUCUACCAGAAUCCGGUGAAACACCAGAUAUUGCAUUUGGGUUUAACGUUCCUUAAUUCUGUUGCAAUCUAUGGUAUUACCUUACCCUUUUAUGACUGAGUUUUUUGAAGACACCAGGACAGUUGUCUUACAGAAUAUUCUAUAUUCUUGAUUUCUCUGAUUAUUUUCCAGUGGUCAGUUUGAUUUCCUGUAAACUGAAAAGGAUAUCUAAAGGCUGGAUUCAAUUCUGGUUAAACAUUUUGGGCAAGAAUACUUUGUGGUUGAUACUGUGUUCCUCAUUUUCGUUACACGAGGGGGCACAUAAUAUCUGGUUUUUCCACUGUUAGUGAUGUUAAGUAUUGUUCCUUGAAUAAGGUGGUAACAGCCAGAACUCUCCAUUGUGAAGUUAGUUUUUGCCCUCAUGACUAGUAAGUAAACUGUGAAGUCAUGCUUUGGCGCCACUGUGAAUGUUCAGUUACCCAUUGCCCUUUUGCCUAAGAUUUUAGCAUGCGUUGAUGAUUAUAACCCUAAUGAAAUAUUCCAUUCAAGUGACAAAAUGGUGAUUUCCCCAAUUCUAUCAUUUCCUUUACACUUAUCAGUUAUCAUUCUUCCAUAAAGAAGAGGUUUCCCUUAGGAACUGGGGCCAUUUGGCUCCCCUUCUGGAAGGGCAAUAUGUAUCCUUGAUUCUUUCUCUCCAGUUAAUGAUUUCAGAAUGAGGGAUUCAUGUUAUGGUCACCUCCAAUAACAUCAAAUGAACCUUUUAGGAGGAAGAUUCUAUCUUGUGAGUACUAUAUUGGACUCAUGAAUUAUUAUAUUUUCAAAUAUGCCCACAUCAAUUACCUUACUUUUUUAAACUUAUUAUUUUGAGAUAAUUAUAGAUUCGUGUGAAGUUGUAAGAAAUAAUACAGAGAGAACCCAUGUACCUUUUACGCAGUUUUCCCUAGUGGGAGCAUUUUGAAAAACUGUAGUACAAUAUCACAAGGAUAUUGAUGUUGAUGAUGUCAAGAUGCCGAGUAUUUCCGUUACUGUAGGAUCUCUCAUGUUGCCCUUUUAUUUAUCAUUCUUUUUGAUGCUUUGACUGUCCAAACUUUGGCCAGUAGAAACGCGUUCAAGAUUCCUGUGUCUUUUUCACAUAAUCCCAUGCUGUUUGAUUUCAUGCUUUCUGGCAGUACAAGGUGUCUCAGAGUUGCCCGUGCUUUCUGCCUGAGACCUGGAAUCCACUAUUUCUUCAAGGAGCCUUUCCUAGUUCGUGGCAUUUCCAAAGAAAAGUCCAAGGGCUAGGGGUACUCAGUGCCACUCAGUUGUCAUUGAUCCUGGGCUCUUGCAAUGCACAAAAUGGAAAUGUUUAUAUAUUUCAAAUUAAUUAAAAUAUCUUCAACUGAUGGGGAAGAUCAAAAUUAACAUUAUAUAACAUUCCCAGAUUUUUACUUAACAUUAAUUUCAAACUUUUGUCUCUUGCUCUGCAAAUCUUUUUUCCUAACAUACUUAUUUGCUUUAUGCUAUGCUAUACAUAAAAAAGUUUCAAAAUAUGAUUAUUACGGCUUACAAUAAAGUCACUGAAUCAAUAUGAAUAUUUCUUUGCAGUUCUUCUGUCCUUUUAGCCCAGAUAUAAGGUUAAAGUACUGUUUUAAAGUCAUAUGAUUUGUAUUAUUUUAUGAGGCUAUGUUACUAAUUUGAUAUAUAGUGAGCUUCAUUUGUUCUAGUUUAUUUUCAAUUUUAGAGUUUUCUUUUUUGACUUAAUUUUAUUCUUUAAAAUAUAAGGAUAUAAAAUUUGUGGCUCAAAAGCAAAAACUAUAUAAAAAUUGCCAUCACAAAUGUAUUGUUUCUAUAUGUCCCUCUCUUUUUACCUCUUUAGUCUCCCCUCCACUCCCCUUCCCUCCCUUCUUUCCUUCCUCUCUUUCUUCCUUUCUCCCUCUUUCCUUUUUUCUUUUCUUUCUCACAUAAAGCACAUACAUACAAAUAGUUUUUUUUUCCCAUUCCUUUUCUUCAUAAGAGGUAGCAAUUUGUCUUCUUUUGUUUUCAUUUAAAAAUAUAAGCCUGAGGUUACUCCUCCUGAUAGUGGUCCUCAUAAAGCCUAUGAAAGGGGCAUAGUACUGUGUGGGUCGGCCACAGGGUAGGCCACUAUCCCCGUCCUGAUGGAUGUUUGCAUUGUUUUCAAUCUUUUGCUUUUCCAAAUAAAGCCAGUAGGAUAGCUUGUGCAUAGUUUGUGGUUUUGUUUUGUUGUUGUUUGUCCUUGUGGAAGUGCAUCUACACUAGUAAGAAUUUGUUGUCAAAGGGUGUCUUGGUAGCCAGGUAUUAUCCAAUGUCUCUGAUUGGGAAUUUUAACAGUUUGCAUUCUCAACAGUAAUGUCUGAGUGUGACUGUUUUUCCAUAGCUUCAUCAGUAGAGUGUAUUGUCUCACUAUGACAUUAUUUAAUUAGUUAAUUAUUUGCAUUUUCCCUUUUAAGAAUGAGCUUGAGAAACUUUUUCUGUGUUUAAGGGAUAUUUGCAUUUUUAUUUUUUUCUGUGAACUUUUCAUUUAUUCUUAGGGCUGCCUUUUUGAUUAUGUUGCUCAUUUAUUUUUCUUUUCUUUUUUUUUUUUUUUUUUCUGAGAUGAGAUGGAGUUUUGCUCUUGUCGCCCAGGGUGGAUUGCAAUGGCGUGAUCUUGGCACACUGCAACCUCUGCCUCCCAGGUUCAAGUGAUUCUCCUGCCUGAGCCUCCCGAGUAGCUGGGAUUACAGGUGCUGACCACCACUCCCAGCUAAUUUUUGUAUUUUAAGUAGAGACAGCGUUUCACCAUGAUGGCCAGUCUAGUCUUGAACUGCUGACCUCAGGUGAUCUGCCUGCCUCAGCCUCCCAAAGUGCUGGGAUUACAGGCGUGAGCCACCGCGUCCUGCCUAUGUUGUUCAUUUCUUUUAUAUAUUCUCAUUUUCUGGUUCAUUUAAUCUAUCUUACUGAGAAAGUAUAGUAACACCUCCUUGAAUAUUCAAUAGUUUCUGUUUUGUGCAAAUUGCUCUUUAUUUAUUUGGUAUAUAAAAAAUGUGUUAACUUCUAAUUGUGAAUUACAGCUUUUAUCAUUAGAAAGUAUCUAUCUUUGUCAUCCUUAAUACUCUUUUUAUUUUGUCUGAUAUCAAGAUCAGGACCUCCCGGUGAAUAUUAUAUUAAUUUGCCUAGUAUACCUUUUUCCAUUCUUUUUAUAUGUUUUUUACUUUUUAGCCCUUGAAUUAUUAUAUAUAUUUUUUAUUUUUUCAUAAGUUAUUGGGGUAGAGGUGGUAUUUGGUUACAUGAGUAAGUUCUUUAGUGGUGAUUUGUGAGAUUUUGGUGCACCCAUCACCCAUGUAUACACUGCACCAUAUUUGUAGUCUUUUAUCCCUCACCGUCUCCCACUCUUCCCAAGUCCCCAAAGUCCAUUGUAUCAUUCUUAAUGCCUUUGCGUCCUCAUAGCUCAGCUCCCACAUAUCAGUGAGAAUAUACGAUGUUUGGUUUUCCAUUCCUGAGUUACAUUACUUAGAAUAAUAGUCUCUAGGCUGGGCGCAGUGGCCACACUUGUAAUCCCAGCACUUUGGGAGGCUGAGGUGGGCGGAUCACCUGAGGUCGGGAGUUCAAGACCAGGCUGACCAACAUGGAGAAACCCCAUCUCUACCAAAAAUACAAAAUAAGCUGGACAUGGUGGUGCAUGCCUGUAAUCCCAGCUACUUAGGAGGCUGAGGCAGGAGAAUGGCUAGAACCCAGGAGGCAGAGGUUGUGGUGAGCUGAGAUUGCACCAUGGCUCUCUAGCCUGGGCAACAAGAGUGAAACUCUGUGUCAAAAAAAAAAAAAAAAAAAAAGAAUAGUCUCUAAUCUCAUCCAAGUUGCUACAAAUGUUAAUUUAUUCCUUUUUUAUGGCUGCAUAGUAUUGCAUUGUGUAU
Molecule: long non-coding RNA, 6381 nt
Filed under: Homo sapiens (human)
Lineage: Eukaryota; Metazoa; Chordata; Mammalia; Primates; Hominidae
Description: HSALNT0121815
Source: RNAcentral